RNAcentral lists this long non-coding RNA (769 nucleotides) under Rattus norvegicus (Norway rat). RNAcentral describes it as "long non-coding RNA NONRATT005730". Lineage: Eukaryota; Metazoa; Chordata; Mammalia; Rodentia; Muridae. The record is from RNAcentral.
CAAGAGGUUCUCUCCCCGGGAACUACACUGAGUACUUUAAAGGUCUCAUCUCCUGGGGUUGCCACGAAGCCCUCAAUGGCAAGCCUGGCCUAGGUUGCUGGUGGGGAGGUCGAGGCCCGCUGCAGGGCGCUGCUCUGCGACCGGCGUGAGACCCGAGAGCAGGGUGGCCGGCAGGGGGCUCCCGGCGCCGGUCUUCGCCGUAGGAAGCCCUGGCAGCGGAUCGGACCGGUCAGAGGAGGAAAAGGGAAAAUUACAGAGGCUUGGCGGGCGGGAAGGGCUGCGUGACUGGGUGGAAGGGACUUGAGACUGUCGACUCGGGCAGCCCAGAUCCUCUGCCCGAGGCGACUCUGGAGAGGGACACCCCACCCCACUCCCCGCAGGGUCUUUCCGCCCCGGUUGUGAGCGCGAGCGGGCGUCUCGGCCGGGGGCGGCGCCGGCGAGGGGCGGGCGGAGGGCGGAGCGCGGUCGGCUGGGCUCCAGGAGGCUGUGCUGGGCGGGCGCUGGCCUUGUCGGUCCUCCGGGAGCCGCGGGGCGCGCAGCCUUCCUGAUGUGUCACCAGCACGUGGAGCCAGAUCGCGCCGAGAGAGCAAGCGAGAGGAACCCCGCAACUUUCGAGGGGUCCCGCAGCAGUGCACAUAUCCUCCACGGCCUGGCGGGGGCCCUGCGGCGAUCCCCAGAUCUCGGAGCAGGUCUGGAGAGGCUGGGGACUCUCGGCUGAGAGCGCACGAAGGUGCAGGAACAUCGGGGUACGCUGCCCCGGCUGCGGCCG